Molecule: transfer RNA, 75 nt
Filed under: Cyanophora sudae
Lineage: Eukaryota; Glaucocystophyceae; Cyanophorales; Cyanophoraceae
Description: tRNA-Trp
Rfam family: tRNA
About the family: Transfer RNA (tRNA) molecules are approximately 80 nucleotides in length. Their secondary structure includes four short double-helical elements and three loops (D, anti-codon, and T loops).
Source: RNAcentral
UAAGGGUGUAGUUUAAAUGGAAAAACAUUAGUCUCCAAAAUUAAUAAUAAGGGUUCAAUUCCUUUCGCCCUUGUC